AACGCACCUUGCGCUCCAUGGUAUUCCAUGGAGCAUGCCUGUUUGAGUGUCACGUGAAACUAUCACUCUUGUCCUGUCGCAAGACAUGUCAGGAUGUGGACUUGGACUGUGCCGUAGUUGGCUCGUCUUGAAAUGCAUUAGCCGUGCUGGUUAGAUUCGGCCACCUGGUGUGAUAUAUGUCUACGCCUACCGUGCUGUUUCUUCCUGAGUGUGGCUUAUAAUCGUCGCUUGUUCGACAAUACAAAUUAACGCUCUGGCCUCAAAUCAGGUAGGACUACCCGCUGAACUUAA
Molecule: unclassified non-coding RNA, 291 nt
Filed under: uncultured Auriculariales
Lineage: Eukaryota; Fungi; Basidiomycota; Agaricomycetes; Auriculariales
Description: sequence contains ITS2
Rfam family: 5.8S ribosomal RNA (bases 1-52)
Source: RNAcentral